This 586-nucleotide ribosomal RNA is filed under the name uncultured bacterium. RNAcentral describes it as "partial 16S ribosomal RNA". It matches the Rfam family "Bacterial small subunit ribosomal RNA", at positions 355 to 937 of the family's 1533-position model. The record is from RNAcentral.
UGGGGAAUAUUGGACAAUGGGCGCAAGCCUGAUCCAGCAAUGCCGCGUGUGUGAAGAAGGCCUUCGGGUUGUAAAGCACUUUUAUCAGGAGCGAAACGCUGUCGGCUAAUACCCGGCGGAACUGACGGUACCUGAGGAAUAAGCACCGGCUAACUUCGUGCCAGCAGCCGCGGUAAUACGAAGGGUGCAAGCGUUAAUCGGAAUUACUGGGCGUAAAGCGUGCGUAGGCGGUUUCUUAAGUCUGCUGUGAAAUCCCCGGGCUCAACCUGGGAAUGGCAGUGGAUACUGGGAGGCUAGAGUGUGUCAGAGGGUGGUGGAAUUCCCGGUGUAGCGGUGAAAUGCGUAGAGAUCGGGAGGAACAUCAGUGGCGAAGGCGGCCACCUGGGACAACACUGACGCUGAGGCACGAAAGCGUGGGGAGCAAACAGGAUUAGAUACCCUGGUAGUCCGCGCCCUAAACGAUGCGAACUGGAUGUUGGUCUCAACUCGGAGAUCAGUGUCGAAGCUAACGCGUUAAGUUCGCCGCCUGGGGAGUACGGUCGCAAGACUGAAACUUAAAUGAAUUGACGGGGUCAUAGCUGUUUCC